Molecule: ribosomal RNA, 253 nt
Filed under: uncultured bacterium
Lineage: Bacteria
Description: partial 16S ribosomal RNA
Rfam family: Bacterial small subunit ribosomal RNA
Source: RNAcentral
UACGUAGGGUGCAGGCGUUAAUCGGAAUUACUGGGCGUAAAGCGUGCGCAGGCGGCUUCCUAAGUCAGAUGUGAAAUCCCCGGGCUCAACCUGGGAACUGCGUUUGAAACUGGGAGGCUAGAGUGCGGCAGAGGGGGGUGGAAUUCCUGGUGUAGCGGUGGAGUGCGCAGAUAUCAGGAAGAACACCCGUGGCGAAGGCGGCUCUCUGGAACGCAACUGACGCUGAGACGCGAAAGCGUGGGGAGCAAACAGG